Molecule: ribosomal RNA, 392 nt
Filed under: uncultured bacterium
Lineage: Bacteria
Description: partial 16S ribosomal RNA
Rfam family: Bacterial small subunit ribosomal RNA
Source: RNAcentral
AUACGGAGGAUCCGAGCGUUAUCCGGAUUUAUUGGGUUUAAAGGGUGCGCAGGCGGCCAUUUAAGUCAGCGGUUAAAUCGUGGGGCUCAACCCCAUUCUGCCGUUGAUACUGGGUGGCUUGAUUGCGGUCGAGGUUGGCGGAAUUCGUUGUGUAGCGGUGAAAUGCAUAGAUAUGACGAAGAACACCGAUUACGUAGGCAGCUGACCAGACCGCAAAUGACGCUCAUGCACGAAAGUGCGGGGAUCGAACAGGAUUAGAUACCCUGGUAGUCCGCACAGUAAACGAUGAAUACUUGUUUUCGGCGAUAUAAUGUCGGAGGCAAAGCGAAAGCGAUAAGUAUUCCACCUGGGGAGUACGCCGGCAACGGUGAAACUUAAAGGAAUUGGCGGGG